This 253-nucleotide ribosomal RNA is filed under the name uncultured bacterium. Its description in RNAcentral is "partial 16S ribosomal RNA". It matches the Rfam family "Bacterial small subunit ribosomal RNA", at positions 524 to 776 of the family's 1533-position model. The record is from RNAcentral.
UACGAAGGGGGCUAGCGUUGUUCGGAAUCAUUGGGCGUAAAGGGUGCGCAGGCGGAGUCAUAAGUCAGGGGUGAAAUCCCGAGGCUCAACCUCGGAACUGCCUUUGAUACUGUGGAUCUUGAGUUCGGAAGAGGUGAGUGGAACUGCGAGUGUAGAGGUGAAAUUCGUAGAUAUUCGCAAGAACACCGGUGGCGAAGGCGGCUCACUGGUCCGGAACUGACGCUGAGGCACGACAGCAUGGGGAGCAAACAGG